This 262-nucleotide unclassified non-coding RNA is filed under the name Hevea brasiliensis (rubber tree). Lineage: Eukaryota; Viridiplantae; Streptophyta; Magnoliopsida; Malpighiales; Euphorbiaceae. The record is from RNAcentral.
GGGAGCCCUGCACCAACGAUUGUUGUGCAUACAUAACUUCAAAUAAACCAUGUCAACCACCUGAAACUCACAGUCCAUUAUAUGCUUAUCAACCUGCUGGUGCAUAUGAGACAUAGCUCGUUGAGGAUGAUGCUUUAGCAAGGCAAUUGCUGACUCACAUCCUCGCAAUUGAAAGUCCACUGCCUCAACAUUUGAAUCGCUCAGCACAUAUGGAAUAUACAAAGGAGGCUGAACACCAUAUAAAUCUUCAAAUGGUGUCAUA